RNAcentral lists this antisense RNA (149 nucleotides) under Buttiauxella agrestis ATCC 33320. RNAcentral describes it as "sok antitoxin (CssrC)". It matches the Rfam family "sok antitoxin (CssrC)". Rfam says of the family: Also identified in Shigella as CssrC. The record is from Rfam by way of RNAcentral. Lineage: Bacteria; Pseudomonadati; Pseudomonadota; Gammaproteobacteria; Enterobacterales; Enterobacteriaceae.
GGGUGCUGAAGCUGUAGGCUUCGAUCCCAAUGGUGAAAAGCAGACAGAAAAAAGCCCCGAGUUAGUUAAACCAACCCGAGGCCCUCUCAUGCUAGACACCAUGAUAGUAGCCUCUUCAUUUUGUGUUUGCAACGCAGGAGGCGAAGAUG